GGUUCGAUCAUGGCUCAGGUCAGACGCUGGCGGGAUGCUUUACACAUGCAAGUCGAACGGCAACACGGACUUCGGUCUGGUGGCGAGUGGCGAACGGGUGAUGUGUAUCGGAACGUGCCUAGUAGCGGGGGAUAACUACGCGAAAGCGUAGCUAAUACCACAUACGCCCUUCGGGGGAAAGCGGGGGACCUUCGGUUUCCGCACUAAUAGAGCAGCCGAUAUCGGAUUAGCUGGUUAGUGAAGUAACAGCUCACCAAGGCGACGAUCCGCGUAGCUGGUUUUGAGAGGACGACCAGCCACAUAAGGACGAGACACGGCCCAGACUCCUACGGGAGGCAGCAGUGGGGAAUUUUGGACAAUGGGGGAAACCCUGAUCCAUGCAUCCCGCGUGUGCGAUGAAGGCCUUCGGGUUUGUAAAGCACUUUGGCAGGAAAAGCAACGGCGCAGGAUAUUACCCCAUUACCAACUGACGUGCCUGCAGAAUAAGCACCAAGCCUUCGAUGCCAACAGCGCGGUAAUACGUAGGGUGCAAGCGUUAAUCGGAAUUACUGGGCGUAAAGCGUGCGCAGGCGGUUCGGAAGAAAGAUGUGAAAUCCCAGAGCCUAACUUUUGGAACUGCAGCAUUUUAACUACCGAGCUGAGAAAGUGUCAGAGGGAGGUGGAAUUCCCGCGUGUAGCAGUGAAAUGCGUAGAUAUGCGGAGGAACACCGAUGGCGAAGGCGGCCUCCUGGAGGAUAACACUGACGCUCAUGCACAGCAUUAUGGGAGCAAACAGGAUUAGAUACCCUGGUAGUCCACGCCUAAAGCGACGUCAACUAGCUGUUGGGGCCUUCGGGCCUUGGUAGCGCAAUAAGCAGCGACAAAGUUGACCGCCUGGGGAGUACGGUCGCAAGAUUAAAACUCAAAGGAAUUGACGGGGACCCGCACAAGCGGUGGAUGAUGUGGAUUAAUUCGAUGCAACGCGAAAAACCUUACCUACCCUUGACAUGUCUGGAAUCCCGAAAGAGGUGCGAGUGCUCGCAAGAAGACCAGACACAGGUGCUGCAUGGCUAGUAGUCAGCUCGUGUCGUGAGAUAUUUGGGUUAAGUCCCGCAACGACGCAACCCUUGUCGUGAGUUGCUGAAAAGGAGCACUCCUAAUGAGACUGCCGGUGACAAACCGGAGGAAGGUGAGAUGACAUCAAGUCCUCGUAAACCCAUAUGGGUAGGGCUUCACGCAUCAUACAAUGGUCGGGACAGAGGUCGCCAACCCGCGAGGCCAAUCUGACCCGAUCGUAGUCCGGAUCGCAGUCUGCAACUCGACUGCGUGAAGUCGGAAUCGCUGUUAAUCGCGGAUCAUAUGUCGCGGUGAAUACGUUCCCGGGUCUUGUACACACCGCCACGUCACACCAUGGGAGUGGGUUUUACCAGAAGUAGUUAGCCUAACCGUAAGGAGGGCGAUUACCACGGUAGGAUUCAUGACUGGGGUGAAGUCGUAACAAAGGUAG
RNAcentral lists this ribosomal RNA (1486 nucleotides) under uncultured Bordetella sp. RNAcentral describes it as "partial 16S-23S ribosomal RNA intergenic spacer". It matches the Rfam family "Bacterial small subunit ribosomal RNA". Lineage: Bacteria; Pseudomonadati; Pseudomonadota; Betaproteobacteria; Burkholderiales; Alcaligenaceae. The record is from RNAcentral.